This 252-nucleotide ribosomal RNA is filed under the name uncultured bacterium. RNAcentral's name for it is "partial 16S ribosomal RNA". It matches the Rfam family "Bacterial small subunit ribosomal RNA", at positions 524 to 776 of the family's 1533-position model. The record is from RNAcentral.
UACAGAGGUCCCAAGCGUUGUUCGGAUUUACUGGGAGUAAAGGGUGCGUAGGUGGCGGGGUAAGUCUGGUGUGAAAGCUUCGAGCUCAACUCGGAAAAGCAUUGGAAACUAUCCCGCUGGAGGGUCGGAGGGGAGACUGGAAUUCUCGGUGUAGCAGUGAAAUGCGUAGAUAUCGAGAGGAACACCAGUGGCGAAGGCGAGUCUCUGGACGACUCCUGACACUGAGGCACGAAAGCUAGGGGAGCAAACAGG